GGGGGCGACCUGGCUUCGACGGGGGUUGCAAAGCAGAUGAGGGCAUACCGGGAUCUCAGUCACCCCGUAAAACACUGAAUUUAUAUAGUCGCAAACGACGAAACUUACGCUCUAGCUGCUUAAUCCCAGCUGGACUCUGCAGCGGUUCGCUGAUGGGCCGUGGAAGCAAUUCCCGCAGAGUCAUUUCACAUCAGCUCGCCUCGGUUCGGGUCGCUUGAUCCGGGGUUAAACGCAAGGCGACUCGCCGUUGACCAGCCUGCCCGUCGGCGUGUUAACGGUCAAAACCAAAUGACACGGCUAAGUAUGUAGAACUCACUGUAGAGUGCUUCCGGACGGGGGUUCGAUUCCCCCCGCCUCCACCA
Molecule: transfer-messenger RNA, 362 nt
Filed under: Gulbenkiania mobilis
Lineage: Bacteria; Pseudomonadati; Pseudomonadota; Betaproteobacteria; Neisseriales; Chromobacteriaceae
Description: Standard tmRNA
Rfam family: transfer-messenger RNA
About the family: Bacterial tmRNA, also known as 10Sa RNA or SsrA, is named for its dual tRNA and mRNA-like properties. Its role is to liberate the mRNA from a stalled ribosome. To accomplish this part of the tmRNA is used as a reading frame that ends in a translation stop signal.
Source: RNAcentral